GUAGUAAAUUUACUUUGAAAAUAAGAAAAAAAAUUUAUUUGAAUUAGUUAAAGUGAAAACCAACCAACAUCUCCCAAAAAGACGUAAAGAUCGGAAUUAUACAAAGCCAUGGAGAUUGACAAUGCGCUGCAUAGUUUUAAACAAGACGAUGAGGCCUGCGACUGCUUGCGUGAAAAGAAAAUUAAAGCUAAUCUCUACGGAAUUUUGCUAUUUUUGCUUGCUGUGGCAAUAUUCAUCGGUUGUUGCACUUAUUUCUGUCCUAAAUUAGGCGCUAAACUUAUAGGCGUAGUAAUAAUAUUGUUGUAGUGCCAUUGAAUUUGUCCAAAUAUGAAUAAUCAACUAAGAUCGUACAUCUUCCAUUU
Anastrepha obliqua is the source of this 362-nucleotide long non-coding RNA. RefSeq lists it as uncharacterized. NCBI's taxonomy places the organism in Eukaryota, Metazoa, Arthropoda, Insecta, Diptera, Tephritidae. The record is from RefSeq and is a predicted model, not a curated record. The transcript has 2 exons.